Molecule: ribosomal RNA, 252 nt
Filed under: uncultured bacterium
Lineage: Bacteria
Description: partial 16S ribosomal RNA
Rfam family: Bacterial small subunit ribosomal RNA
Source: RNAcentral
UACGUAGGGGGCGAGCGUUGUCCGGAAUUACUGGGCGUAAAGGGUUCGCAGGCGGAAAUGCAAGUCAGAUGUAGAAGGCAGAAGCUCAACUACCGUAAGCAUUUGAAACUGUAUAUCUUGAGUAGAGGAGAGGUAAGUGGAAUUUUUAGUGUAGCGGUGAAAUGCGUAGAUAUUAGAAGGAAUACCGGUGGCGAAGGCGACUUGCUGGGCUCAUUCUGACGCUGAGGAACGAAAGCGUGGGUAGCAAACAGG